This 422-nucleotide ribosomal RNA is filed under the name uncultured archaeon. Its description in RNAcentral is "partial 16S ribosomal RNA". It matches the Rfam family "Archaeal small subunit ribosomal RNA", at positions 323 to 746 of the family's 1478-position model. The record is from RNAcentral.
CUACGGGCCGCAGCAGGCGCGAAAACUUUACAAUGCACGAAAGUGUGAUAAGGGAAUCCCAAGUGCUUUACUAUCAGUAAGGCUUUUGCCAUGAGUAAAUAUCAUGGCGAAUAAGUGGUGGGUAAGACUUGUGCCAGCCGCCGCGGUAACACCAGCGCCACAAGUGGCAACCGCUAUUAUUGGGCCUAAAGCGUCCGUAGCUGGUUCAGCAAAUUUCCUGUGAAAUCGUACCGCUUAACGGGACGGCGUGCAGGUAACACUACUGAACUAGGGACCGGGAGGCGUCAGAGGUAUUCCGGAGGGAGCGGUAAAAUGCUAUAAUCUUCGGAGGACCCCCAGUGGCGAAGGCGUCUGACGAGAACGGAUCCGACGGUGAGGGACGAAAGCCAGGGGAGCGAACCGGAUUAGAUACCCUGGUAGUC